RNAcentral lists this transfer RNA (73 nucleotides) under Gemmata sp. SH-PL17. Its description in RNAcentral is "tRNA-Arg". The record is from RNAcentral. Lineage: Bacteria; Pseudomonadati; Planctomycetota; Planctomycetia; Gemmatales; Gemmataceae.
GCCCCGUCCGACGGAUUUGCGGCGCUGGGUCUACGAAACCCGGUUGUGAAGGUUCGAUUCCUUCACGGGGCAC